UCGAGAAUCUUCCGCAAUGGGCGAAAGCCUGACGGAGCGACACCGCGUGCAGGACGAAGGCCUUCGGGUUGUAAACUGCUGUCACGCUCUAGGAAUGCCAUGCUGUUAAUAGCGGCAUGGUUGACCAAGGCGAGAGGAAGUGGCGGCUAACUCUGUGCCAGCAGCCGCGGUAAGACAGAGGCCACGAACGUUGUUCGGAAUUACUGGGCAUAAAGCGCGCGUAGGCGGCUGGGUCCGUCCGAUGUGAAAGCCCCCGGCUCAACCGGGGAAGUGCAUCGGAUACAGCCCGGCUUGAGGACGGUUGGGGUGAGUGGAACUCCUGGUGGAGCGGUGAAAUGCGUAGAUAUCAGGAGGAACACCGGUGGCGAAAGCGGCUCACUGGACCGUUACUGACGCUGAGGUGCGAAAGCUAGGGGAGCAAACGGGAUUAGAUACCCAGGUAGUCCCUGAGCGGGCUGGCAAGGCGCAU
RNAcentral lists this ribosomal RNA (469 nucleotides) under uncultured bacterium. Its description in RNAcentral is "bacterial SSU rRNA". It matches the Rfam family "Bacterial small subunit ribosomal RNA", at positions 355 to 825 of the family's 1533-position model. The record is from RNAcentral.